Molecule: ribosomal RNA, 420 nt
Filed under: uncultured bacterium
Lineage: Bacteria
Description: bacterial SSU rRNA
Rfam family: Bacterial small subunit ribosomal RNA
Source: RNAcentral
AACGCGAAGAACCUUACCAGGUCUUGACAUCCCGAUGACCGCUUCAGAGAUGGAGCUUCUCUUCGGAGCAUUGGAGACAGGUGGUGCAUGGUUGUCGUCAGCUCGUGUCGUGAGAUGUUGGGUUAAGUCCCGCAACGAGCGCAACCCCUAUGUUCAGUUGUAUUUCUCUGAACAGACUGCCCUGGUAACAGGGAGGAAGGAGGGGAUGAUGUCAGGUCAGUAUUUCCCUUACGCCUUGGGCUACAAACACGCUACAAUGGCCGGUACAAAGGGCAGCCAAGUCGCGAGACGGAGCAAAUCCCAUCAAAACCGGUCUCAGUUCGGAUAGCAGGCUGAAACUCGCCUGCUUGAAGCUGGAAUCGCUAGUAAUGGUAGGUCAGCACACUACCGUGAAUACGUUCCCGGGUCUUGUACACACCG